GAGGUGAUCCAGCCAUGCCGCGUGUGUGAAGAAGGUUCUUCGGAUUGUAAAGCACUUUAAGUUGGGAGGAAGGGCAGUAAGUUAAUACCUUGCUGUUUUGACGUUACCGACAGAAUAAGCACCGGCUAAC
RNAcentral lists this ribosomal RNA (130 nucleotides) under uncultured bacterium. Its description in RNAcentral is "partial 16S ribosomal RNA". It matches the Rfam family "Bacterial small subunit ribosomal RNA", at positions 380 to 501 of the family's 1533-position model. The record is from RNAcentral.